CAGAGAUUUUUGAUGUCAUCAAUUGUGUCCUUUGUGCCUAUAUCCGAUGUAAGGGUCAUGAACUUUAGGCUCUGUAAUAACAGAGAAGAAUGCCGGGUGAAGAAAAGGGCUUCUAUUGGCUAGCCUGGGCGAACCCACCCUUUCCCAGCGAGAGAAAUUGCUGACAAGUGAGCUUUCCAAAGUGUCAGGAAUCCUGUAAAAUGGAUAACGACAUUAAUAGAAAUUGAAGGAAAGACAACCAGUAACAAGAUUGCUGGAUCCCAGGAACUUUAUGCCGUUGAUGCUUUGAUAUAUACAUUAUUCAAUAAAAUACAUGAAUAAUAUGAAUUAAUUUUUUGGAGCAUUGCAUGAGAUGUGUAAACUUUAUAAAACCACCCUGAAGGAGCAGAACCUUGUGAUGAAGACAUUACUCCUAAAGAGGCAGUUGCUGUGAUUGUUCAAGAGGCAGGAGCUGCAGCAUCUUCAGAAGAAGGAGCCUGAUGCCUCAUGUUGCUCCACAGAUGUUGCUUCUUGGGAUGGAGGCUUCAGGAUGUGGGCUUGAAAUAGAAUUAGUCAACUGGGAACUGGGAAGGAGGAAUGCUACAAUAUCUACACUGUGGCUAGCCUGUACAAUGUAUGAAAGUGACAAGACUUCAGAAUGGUCUGCAUUCACUGAAUACGAUUAAAAAGUACAAUUCCCAGUAGAAAUCUUCAGAGUCUGUGAAAUCUGGUCAGGAACAAGGAAAAUCUUCAUGACAAUCAUCUUGCAGCCAUUUUUGAUGUGAAGAAGGAUCUUUCCAGAUUGAGGGAGUCACUGUGCUUUCAGGUAUAAACACAUGGAAAAUCAGAGGCUUCUAUGUACCAACUUUGGAAAUUCUGAUGAAAGAUUGGUUUGGUUUUCUGAAGGAUUCAUCUUCAUUAAACCCAAGUAUACAAUAUACUUCAAAUCAGGCUACAUAAGAACUAUAUUCCACCUUUAAAAAAUUAUCCACCUGUGAAAAAGAUUAUCAUUUGGGAAUUAUUUAAACUGGUAUAUUGAUACCUUCCACAAUAUAGAUAUGUUAUCUGGCCUUCAUUCAGUGUAGAGAAAAGCCUGGAAUUUGUCCUGCAAUUAAAGAGAGAGAUUGUAUCAGUGCUCAUUGGUAUUAUAGUUAUGCUGAUCCUUAAGUGUCUGCCACUAGGGAAAAGGAAUAUAGUCUUAUGAGUGUUCAGGUCAUGGUGAUCAAGUGAAUGCUAUGGGAUGGGAGAAUGGG
RNAcentral lists this long non-coding RNA (1232 nucleotides) under Monodelphis domestica (gray short-tailed opossum). Its description in RNAcentral is "lncRNA (ENSMODG00000042667.1)". Lineage: Eukaryota; Metazoa; Chordata; Mammalia; Didelphimorphia; Didelphidae. The record is from RNAcentral.